RNAcentral lists this ribosomal RNA (218 nucleotides) under uncultured bacterium. RNAcentral's name for it is "partial 16S ribosomal RNA". It matches the Rfam family "Bacterial small subunit ribosomal RNA", at positions 116 to 334 of the family's 1533-position model. The record is from RNAcentral.
CGUAUGUAACCUACCUUUGUCAGGGGGAUAGCCUCUCGAAAGAGAGAUUAAGCCCGCAUAACAUUGAGAUAUAGCAUUAUGACUCAAUCAAAUAUUUAUAGGACAAAGAUGGGCAUGCGGAACAUUAGCUAGUUGGUAAGGUAAUGGCUUACCAAGGCUACGAUGUUUAGGGGAUCUGAGAGGAUGACCCCCCACACUGGUACUGAGACACGGACCAG